CCGUCUCGCGCAAUUCUAACCAGUCUCAUUAGGCACUGCCCGCGGUAUAGACAUAUUUGGCAAAAUUAAUCGUAAUACUGAUUGUUGUUUGUGGUAAAAUAUUGCUAACGCCGAGGUAUCGAGUUCAGCGAAGGUGGGAGAUUACACAGUUCCUGUGGUGCGUCACCAAGAUGGCUGCCACAGUAGCAACGGGCCGGUGUAGCGAUUAUACUACAUUUGACGUGAUGGCAGUUGACGUGAGGAUAGUCGACAACUCGAGACUGCAAAAAAAACCGGCGGCACCAGAUCGAGUGGAGUUAUUGUAGAUUAUUUAAAGAGUUUCUUGAUAGCGGGUUACAGCCACAAAAAUGCCAGAAAAUUAAGUAAACAAUUUGAAUGAAUAACAAUACGCU
Long non-coding RNA from Spodoptera frugiperda (fall armyworm), 392 nucleotides. RefSeq lists it as uncharacterized. The record is from RefSeq and is a predicted model, not a curated record. The transcript is spliced from 3 exons. Lineage: Eukaryota; Metazoa; Arthropoda; Insecta; Lepidoptera; Noctuidae.